AGAAAUGCAGUGAUGGGAAGAGUAACCUAGGAAUUUAUCUAAAGAGAGCCGGGAUUUGGUGAAACCUGGUGAUAAUGAACUAUGUGAACAUGGCCCCUGAGUAGGUUGUCUGAAUAAUUAGGAUAACCCGUGAGAGUCGACGUUAAAAGACAGAGUGAUAAUGGUCACUUACAAAGGUUUCUUUAGUGAUGAAGAAAUAAAUUAGAGUGGUACAGCGAUAAUACGCCUCUAAA
Molecule: non-coding RNA, 233 nt
Filed under: Clostridium cellulovorans
Lineage: Bacteria; Bacillati; Bacillota; Clostridia; Eubacteriales; Clostridiaceae
Description: T-box sequence
Rfam family: T-box leader
About the family: Uncharged tRNA acts as the effector for transcription antitermination of genes in the T-box leader family. T-boxes are found upstream of many aminoacyl-tRNA synthetase genes and some amino acid biosynthetic genes usually in Gram-positive bacteria.
Source: RNAcentral